RNAcentral lists this unclassified non-coding RNA (440 nucleotides) under Hevea brasiliensis (rubber tree). Lineage: Eukaryota; Viridiplantae; Streptophyta; Magnoliopsida; Malpighiales; Euphorbiaceae. The record is from RNAcentral.
GGUUGGGCUUUGGUUUGAUCUGAAUUAGCGGCCAGGCAGAUAACUAAAGUGAAUAAAAAAGAUAAUGCGAAAUUUAAAUCAAAACCUUUAAACUCAUGCCUCUCUGGAUAUUGUUCAUAAUCAUCCUCAGCAACUUGAUCCAACAUUCCAGAAAAGUGAGUAAAGAACAACCCCUCGUCAUCGGCCCGUUCAUAGCCCACCAUCGCUGACAGUCUUUUUCUAUCAUUACCAUCAUCAUCAUCGUCUUCCAAGUUAUGAUCAAACAGUAGAUGGACUCCACACUUGUGUAUGACCUCGCUAAUAAGUUCUCUUUGAUCGGUUCUACCAUAGAAUUGAAAUGAGGCUUCUCUGAUACGGAAUUUCUUAGAAUUAAAAUGAAUGGUGGAAUACCAGAGGGAAAUGUCAUUUAUAUUGAACUUUGAGCAAGAGGAAUUCACAUC